GUCUGAAUGCCAGACUCAAACUGAUCAGUCCAUUCUGGAGGAAGAGCAUCAAAAGAACUCUGCCAGUAGUUGGAGAUGUUAGGUUCACAUUCAGAAGGUUCUUUGAAAACCCAUUUAUGACACUUAUCUGAAGCAACUUUUCCCAUUAACCCUUCUCCAUAAUUAUAUAACUGGAUAGACAUUUUGCUGAAAGCUUUCCUGACAGGAUCUUCUCCAUCAAUCUCUUCCAGACAAUCUCCUACUCUUCCUCGACAAAACCCAUCUUCCCACAUCAGCAUCAAGCUCCCAUUAUCGUCUCCAACCUUGCAACCAUUACCACCUCUGACUCUUGGGCGAGGACGGAUAGUCCAGAAGACAGAGUAAGUCCAGUCUGAGUUGAGACAGACGCUUCUAAGGGCCUCAUGAAGGGCCAUCAUCCCAACAGCUUCUUUGCUCCUAUCUGCUCCUCCUGAGCCCACCAUCUCUCUCUCUCUCUCUCUCUCUCUCUAAGUCUUCCUUUGGGUCUGUCUAUAUGUAUGUAUAAAUUAUCUGUAUAUUCUUUCCUUUGCAUCUAAAUUUAGCCCUUAAAACUUAUGCUUCGCACUUGACAAUUAUCCUAAGAAACCCCUUCAGAAGUUUUCCUUCUUUGUUUUCUUUUCUAAAAGAACUCUGUUUCUAUUUCUCUUGACGNNNUUUAAAUCACAAUUCACACUGCAACCGCUCCUAUCUUUCUUUAUAUUAUUAUAAUUCUAACCCAGUUGCCUCGUCAUCAUCCUAUAUAUUUAUAUAUGCUUAUA
Molecule: unclassified non-coding RNA, 776 nt
Filed under: Hevea brasiliensis (rubber tree)
Lineage: Eukaryota; Viridiplantae; Streptophyta; Magnoliopsida; Malpighiales; Euphorbiaceae
Source: RNAcentral